CCGCCGUGCCGUGCAAAGCGGAGCAAAGCCGUGCAAAAGCUGUGCAAAGCCACAGCUGCCCGUGCAGCACCAGGCCCCGUGGGGCCGUGCUGAGCUGAGCCGGGCAGCACCGGGGGGGGGGGGGGCUCGGGGGGGGGCAGCCCCCAAGCAGAUCGCGGCUGCACUGCCCCUGGGUACCCGGGGGGGUGAGGAGGGUGAGGGGGGGCUGCUGGUGCCGGGGUCACACCUGGUGUGUGUGCAACGUGCAGAGAGCACACACACUGCAAGGCACGGCAGGGGUGUGCACACGCUUGUGCGUGAUCACAUGCGUGUGCAUUGCUCUGUGUGUGUGGUCCUGCACAGCUGCACGCUCACGCAUGGUGAUGCGCAUGUGCAGCAUCGUGCAUUGUGUGGCCUUGCAUGUGGGCAUGCUUGCACACUCGUGCGUGCCCACACGGGCUCCUGCGGGCUCACAGACGUGCACCCUCACUUCUGCACUACCACCAGAGUGCAAAGCCUUGCACACAUCCAUGCCCCCACACUUGUGCACCAUCCUCACACACAUGUGGCCUUGCACACCCAUGCACACUCACAGACUUGUGCAUGGUCUGGCAUGUGCAUGAGCUUGCACACUCUCGUGCACACCCCCCCAGCCCCACAAGGCCUCGUGCGAAGUCCUGUGCCCCCCGGCGUCCCCUGGCCAUGGGCGUAGGGCCCGGUGCACGCGCAGGCCGGCGUGACAGCCCGUGCCCCAGCGUGCCCCGUGUCCCGUGGUGCCCUGGGAGCGCCCGGGGCCCUUGGCGUGCCGCCUGUGUCCCGUCGUGCCCUGGGAGUGCCGCGGGCGUUGGCGUCACUCCCGGCUUCCCAGCGUGCUCCAGGGCGGGGCAGCGUGAGCAGGGAGGCCUCGCACGCGCGUGUGCAAGGGGCCUGCUGCAGCUCCACCCCCCCCCCCGACCUGACUGUAGCCGGUGUGCAAAGCCUCACAUGUGCACAGGGCUGUGGCUCUCAGCGUGUGCUGCUCUCCACCACCUUGCACACGUGUCCCUGUGCAAACUUUGCACCAACCCCCUGGGCAGCCCUUGCACCAACACUUUGUGCAACCCUUGCGCCAAAGCAUCCCCAUGCAACACUUCCACAGCUCCCCCCAGUCCCUCCCCGUGCAGCUCUUGCACUAGCUCACGCCUGUGCAGUCCUUGCACGGAACCCCCCCGUGCAAUCCUUGCACCAAGC
Molecule: long non-coding RNA, 1209 nt
Filed under: Anas platyrhynchos platyrhynchos (common mallard)
Lineage: Eukaryota; Metazoa; Chordata; Aves; Anseriformes; Anatidae
Description: lncRNA (ENSAPLG00000024933.1)
Source: RNAcentral